GCACAAAAAUGCAGAAAGCAAGGGCUGACAGGGACAGCUGGAGUAGGUGUAUCCAUGUCCCGCGGAUCCGCUUGUAAGCAGAGCAUGCGCGGCGAGUGGCUCACCCCGCUUGGCAGCUUCGCCACGCACGAGUAUUACCGCUCUGUUCAAGAGGAAGUUAUCGCGUGGUGGCGGCAGCACCAGCGCCAAGACCUCCCAUGGCGGCAAACGCUCCCUCGUGGCAGCGGUGACUUAAGCGGAGCGGUCGACGGGGAGAAGCACCGUACAAGUGCUACCACGGCACGUUAUGAUCCAUACCAGGUAUGGGUGUCUGAGGUAAUGUCGCAGCAAACACGCAUGGAGACUGUCAUACCGUACUACGCCGCGUGGAUGAAGAAGUUUCCGUCGAUUGAGGCGCUCGCAGCUUCAACUGAGGACGAGGUGAAAUCUGUGUGGGCAGGCAUGGGGUACUAUCGUCGAGCUAUGUACCUGCGCAAAGGGGCGAAGUACCUCCUCGAGCGGUCCAAGGAGAGGGAGGCAACCGCGACGGCUUGUAUGCCGUCUUCCCAAGAGGAACUCUUGAAAGUCCCUGGGAUAGGCCCAUACACAUCGGCUGCCAUCGCCUCCAUGUGCUUCGGCGAACCUGUGUGCUCUGUGGACGGUAAUGUGAUACGCGUCCUGAGUCGUCUCCGCGGCGAGCGAGAUUUCGAUCCCAAAGUUCCGGCGAAUGUCAAAGAGGCGGCGGCGUGGGGGCAGCAGCUCAUGGGCAACUCACCCACCACCUCCGCCGUGGUUUGCCAAGACCCGAGCGCUUUGAAUCAGGGACUGAUGGAGCUGGGUGCGUCGGUGUGUCGCCCGAGUGGAGCGCCGCUCUGCACCUCAUGUCCCUUACAGAGGUUUUGCUGCGCCAGCGCGCUGCUUCGGGGUGGCGACAUUGAGGCGAUCGAGGGUGUCAUCCCGGCUCGUGCAGCGAAAAUGGCGAAGCGCAGCGCACGCAAGCUUUGUGUUGUGCACGAGAUGUCGGCGAGCCGAAUCGGUGACGCCAGGCGUUUUGUAGUCGUUCGCCGUCCAGCUAACGGGCUGCUGGGUGGCAUGCUCGAGUUCCCUACCGUGAACGCAUUCGCAGCAGAUGACGAGGAGGCCAUCGUGCCUUUGCUGAAGCACCCACUGAGCGUGCUGACAUGGAAAGCGAGGGCGAGGCCAACAUCUGCCAGGUUGUGUGGAAACGUUCGACACAUAUUCAGUCACAUUGUCAUGGAUGUGGAGGUCGUUCACGUGCAAUGGCCUGCUGACGCCGAUGGAGCUGCCCUGCUCAAGAGGGUCGCAGAGGUGGUGGAUGGCCACAGCGCGGGCGACUGCUGCAACGAACUCCCUGCAGCUGCGCGGAUCUUCCUAAUGUCGGAAGCGGACCUGAGGGAGAACGCGCCGAGUCGCCUAAUGCUGAAAGUGCUCCAGAAGGUAUCUUCUGUGGAGGUCAAGCAAGUGCGCAUCAGCAGAACUGGGAAGCGAGCUAUCCAGGAGAGUUCUGAAGCCUUGUCCCCGCACAAGAGGGUGGCGAGGAGAGAGCGGGCGCGCUCUUAAACACGUCCUCGAAGACCAUCCGCUCGGUUCGACGCAUACACCAGCGUUUGAAAGAAGCAUCGACACAUGGCCUCUUUUUCUUACAGUACCCUUUUCCUUUCUCUCCGUAUUUGAUUCGGAUUAUCGCCCCCUGGGGAACAUCGGU
Molecule: unclassified non-coding RNA, 1705 nt
Filed under: Leishmania donovani
Lineage: Eukaryota; Euglenozoa; Kinetoplastea; Trypanosomatida; Trypanosomatidae
Description: gene:LdHU3.28.3120(CDS-product:A/G-specific_adeni ne_glycosylase_putative)
Source: RNAcentral